UGGGGAAUUUUGGACAAUGGGCGAAAGCCUGAUCCAGCAAUGCCGCGUGUGUGAAGAAGGCCUUCGGGUUGUAAAGCACUUUUGUCCGGAAAGAAAUCCUUGGCUCUAAUACAGUCGGGGGAUGACGGUACCGGAAGAAUAAGCACCGGCUAACUACGUGCCAGCAGCCGCGGUAAUACGUAGGGUGCAAGCGUUAAUCGGAAUUACUGGGCGUAAAGCGUGCGCAGGCGGUUUGCUAAGACCGAUGUGAAAUCCCCGGGCUCAACCUGGGAACUGCAUUGGUGACUGGCAGGCUAGAGUAUGGCAGAGGGGGGUAGAAUUCCACGUGUAGCAGUGAAAUGCGUAGAGAUGUGGAGGAAUACCGAUGGCGAAGGCAGCCCCUGGGCCAAUACUGACGCUCAUGCACGAAAGCGUGGGGAGCAAACAGGAUUAGAUACCCUGGUAGUCCACGCCCUAAACGAUGUCAACUAGUUGUUGGGGAUUCAUUUCCUUAGUAACGUAGCUAACGCGUGAAGUUGACCGCCUGGGGAGUACGGUCGCAAGAUUAAAACUCAAAUGAAUUGACGGGG
RNAcentral lists this ribosomal RNA (569 nucleotides) under uncultured bacterium. Its description in RNAcentral is "partial 16S ribosomal RNA". It matches the Rfam family "Bacterial small subunit ribosomal RNA", at positions 355 to 918 of the family's 1533-position model. The record is from RNAcentral.